Molecule: unclassified non-coding RNA, 372 nt
Filed under: fungal sp.
Lineage: Eukaryota; Fungi
Description: partial internal transcribed spacer region
Rfam family: Eukaryotic small subunit ribosomal RNA (bases 1-46)
Source: RNAcentral
AAGUCGUAACAAGGUUUCCGUAGGUGAACCUGCGGAAGGAUCAUUAACACGUAUCCAACGUUAAACCCCCCGUGCACCUUCACAGAGCGCGCUGCUCCUCUCGACGUCAGCAAUCCUGGUAAAUCAGUGGCGAAAGUAGUCUUUGAUUCAGGACCUCUGAAGUUGUAAGCAGGCAGUUUGAGCCUUCUAUCGCCAGUCUGGAGUCCUGGCCGGGCGGAUGAAAGUGUCGCUAGACGGUUUCUAGGGUAAGGCUUCUCCAUCGCCGGUAGUGCCCCUUUACCACGACCAAGUUAAAUUAGGCCUCUACCACAUAGCAAGUGCGCCGUGGUAGAGGAAAACGUACAACUGUUAACAAUGGAUAUCUUGGUUCUC